CAGCGCCACGAGUGGUAAUCGCUAUUAUUGGGCCUAAAGCGUCCGUAGCAGGUUUUGUAAAUCUUAUGUGAAAUUGUUGCGCUCAACGUAACAGCGUGCAUGAGACACUGCAAGACUUGGGACCGGGAGGAGUCAGAGGUAUUUCUUGGGGAGCGGUAAAAUGCUAUAAUCCAAGAAGGACCACCUAUGGCGAAGGCAUCUGACCAGAACGGAUCCGACUGUGAGGGACGAAAGCCAGGGGAGCGAACCGGAUUAGAUACCCGAGUAGUCC
This 271-nucleotide ribosomal RNA is filed under the name uncultured archaeon. RNAcentral's name for it is "partial 16S ribosomal RNA". It matches the Rfam family "Archaeal small subunit ribosomal RNA", at positions 477 to 747 of the family's 1478-position model. The record is from RNAcentral.